This 23-nucleotide unclassified non-coding RNA is filed under the name Mus musculus (house mouse). Its description in RNAcentral is "oocyte_clustered_small_RNA12058". Lineage: Eukaryota; Metazoa; Chordata; Mammalia; Rodentia; Muridae. The record is from RNAcentral.
UGUCAGAGGAUGUUCAAGCGCAG